Choloepus didactylus (southern two-toed sloth) is the source of this 1901-nucleotide RNA transcript. It is a transcript of the gene named Meis homeobox 3, with no coding region annotated. The record is from RefSeq and is a predicted model, not a curated record. Lineage: Eukaryota; Metazoa; Chordata; Mammalia; Pilosa; Megalonychidae. The transcript has 13 exons.
GUUCGAUUCUCCCAGGAUACCCGGGGAGGGACGGGGGGCCCCGGAGGGGGGUGUGUGGCCUCGGGCGACCCUCCUCCGCCCCCGCACCCCUUCCCUCGCUGGGAUGAGCCCCUCGCUGUGACCCCCGCGGGGGCAGGGCGCUGGGGGUCCAUGCUCGCAGCCCGCCCGCCGCCCGGCGCCUGCCACUGACGGCGGGGUGGGGUGGGGGGUCGGGCCCCCCAGCCCCCUGCCCACCCCCCGGCCAGGCUCCGGAAGCACCCGGGAGCUGCCGCCGGCGUCGGCUCAUGGCCCGGAGGUGCGAGGAGCUGUCCCAUUACCCGGCGGACGGCGCUGCAGCCCUGGCUGGCUUCUCCGAGGCCCUGCCCUUGGCACCCAGAGCCCCGGGGCCCUACGGCCCCCACCGGCACCCCCAGCCCGCACCCCAGGGCCUGGACAGCGACGGCCUGAAGAGGGAGAAGGAUGAGAUCUACGGACACCCCCUGUUUCCCCUGCUGGCCCUGGUCUUUGAGAAAUGUGAGUUAGCCACGUGCUCACCCCGGGACGGGGCCGGGACCAGGCCGGGCAGCCCCCCGGGCGGUGACGUCUGCUCUUCCGAUUCCUUCACCGAGGACAUCGCUGCCUUCGCCAAGCAGGUCCGCUCCGAGAGGCCCCUCUUCUCCUCCAACCCCGAGCUGGACAACCUGAUGAUACAGGCCAUUCAAGUGCUCCGGUUCCACCUGCUGGAGCUGGAGAAGGUCCACGACCUGUGCGACAACUUCUGUCACCGCUACAUCACCUGCCUCAAGGGAAAGAUGCCCAUCGACCUGGUCAUUGAGGACCGCGAUGGCAGCUGCAGGGAGGACCUCGAGGACUUCCCGGCAUCCUGCCCCAGCCUCCCCGACCAGAAUAAUUCAUGGAUUAGAGACCACGAGGACAGCACUUCCAUAUAUUUGGGGACCCCAGGUCCAUCCAGUGGGGGCCUGGCCUCCCAGAGUGGGGACAACUCCAGCGACCAAGGAGAUGGGCUGGACACCAGUGUGGCCUCUCCCAGUUCUGGGGGGGAGGACGAGGAGUUGGACCAGGAGCGGCGGCGGAACAAGAAGAGGGGCAUCUUCCCCAAGGUGGCCACCAACAUCAUGAGGGCCUGGCUGUUCCAGCACCUCUCGCACCCGUACCCCUCGGAAGAGCAGAAGAAGCAGUUGGCUCAGGACACGGGGCUCACCAUCCUGCAAGUCAACAACUGGUUCAUUAACGCCCGGAGACGCAUCGUGCAGCCGAUGAUUGAUCAAUCCAACCGCACAGCCUGUACCCCUCCACCCCCUUCACAGGGCAAGGUGCAGCCUUCAGCCCAGAGGGCCAGCCCUUGGGGGGCUAUACAGAGACUCAGUCGCAUAUGGCUGCCAGGCCGCCAGGAUCGAUGGGGAUGAGUUUGAACUUAGAAGGAGACUGGCAUUAUCUAUAGAGGCUGGAUUCAGGAGAAGUACUUCAGCCUCCGAACGGUGACCACCAGGUUCACACCUGGUUCCAGUCUCCACCUGGCCACUGGCUUAAGGAGCCCACCUCAGAAGGCCCCCCCCCUCAACGCCUACCUCCCUGGGGCCCGCUGAGACAUGGGGGGCCUGAGUGCCCCUUCGAGGGUCUCUCAAAGGACCCAAAGCCUCCCGGCCCCAAGCCUCAUUUCUGCGCUCACCUCUGCUCAGAACCAAACCAAGAUCCCAGGCCUGGGUCUUUGGAAGAUGGUGGCUGGAGGCCCCCCCAACCUCCAGGACAGAGAAGGGAUUGGGGGUGAGCUGGGACCGUCAGGGAAGGCGGGUCACCUGGAUCCGACAUUUGGGGGAGGUUCCCUUCAUCCUCUCACCCCUUCCCCCCUUCUCGCUCUCCCUACCUCCCUUCUAUACUGUCUUCUACUUUUUUUUUUAAUG